Long non-coding RNA from Daphnia pulicaria, 1043 nucleotides. RefSeq lists it as uncharacterized. NCBI's taxonomy places the organism in Eukaryota, Metazoa, Arthropoda, Branchiopoda, Diplostraca, Daphniidae. The record is from RefSeq and is a predicted model, not a curated record. The transcript has 4 exons.
UAUUGAUGCACAUUUUGUGAAACCAACCGUCGCAACCAUUCGCGUCACAUCCGAUAAACUAAAAUCCAUUUUUCUCCCAACCUGUCCUGCGACAAGUACAAUACAAUAAUUCUGCUUCGACAGUCUCGUGAGUCCUUGUUGCACGACUUGGAACUGAUGGGAAUGGAGUUAGUUUGCCGGAAUCCAUACACUGAACAAGGUGAUUGGAGGAGACUGGACAUACAACUUAGGACAUGCUCGUUUCUCCAUGGAUGGCCGGGACUGCUGUCAUACACCAGUACAUGUUCACGUUGAAUAAACCCUUUGGCAACUAAUACCCAGUGAUCCGAUCCGUCAUGAACGAUCUGCAACCAUUGAUCGCCCUUCGCUCGGGGGAAUUCAAGGCUGCCUCCAAUUGUACAGCAGAGCAGACCACCUAUUUCUGGAUGUUGCUUUUUCAGGAUUGCCUGCGCCUUGUUGAUGUCGCCUGACAUGAGUUUGUUCGUCUUUGUUAAUACUUGCGGCUUGUCCAAGAAAAGAUAGGGUUGUUUACUCCUGUCCCGUCUAUUUCGGAGGCAACCAUCAGUCGAAGACACAAGCUAUUAAAGGAAGUAAGGAAAUUCGAAUCAUUUUUCUGAAAUUCUUCCAAAUAUCAUUUUGUUACCUCUACAGAAUUAUCGGGUAAUGCAGUUGUGAUCAGUGUGACAUCGACAGGUGGAACAUCAGUGGUUGUGGUGAUGCUGAUGUCCGUUUUGUUUACAGGUGAAACUUCGCUGGGUGUAGUUGUGAUCAAUGUGUAGUUCUGAUCAAUGAUGGACACGUCCACUUCAUCGACUGGUGGAACAUCAGCGGCUGUGGUGAUGCGAACGUCUAUUUUGUUUACAGGUGAAACUACGCUGGGUGUAGGUAAUUCCUGAAGUUGUGAUGACGAAUCUUGAUUAUAAUAAUCCUUCAUGUGUUUUUCUUCCUCAGCCAAAAUUAGCGCUUCCUCCAUCUCUCUGCUCAUAAUUCCACCCAUCUAAACAAAAGCUUCACGUUCUUCUCAUUGCGUACACGCUUGGUCG